AGAGAUGUGUGAUGACGCAUAUCAAUAAGCGGAGGAAAAGAAACUAACAAGGAUUCCCCUAGUAACGGCGAGUGAAGCGGGAAGAGCUCAAAUUUGAAAUCUUAAAGGGUUUCCCUUUACGAAUUGUAGUUUAAAGAAGUGUUUUCUGUUGGAGUUUCGGUAAAAGUUCUUUGGAAUAGGACAUCAUAGAGGGUGAGAAUCCCGUAUUUGACCGUUACUUUCCAGCUGUGUGAUACACUUUCAAAGAGUCGGAUUGUUUGGGAAUGCAGUCCAAAAUGGGUGGUAAAUUUCAUCUAAAGCUAAAUAUUGGCGAGAGACCGAUAGCGAACAAGUACCGUGAGGGAAAGAUGAAAAGAACUUUGAAAAGAGAGUUAAACAGUACGUGAAAUUGUCAAAAGGGAAGCGUUUGACACCAGUGUUGUUUAGUUGAAAAUCAAUUCAAUAGUUUUUGAUUUUGAGUAGUAUUGACUUCAUCAGCUUGCUGCUUUUUUUUCAGGAAUUAUUGAAUGCACUUUUCAGUUAACAAGUCAACAUCAAUUUCUUUUGUUGUAAAAGGGUAAGAGGAAGGUGGCUUACGUUUCGGCGUAAGUGUUUAUAGCCUUUUACCUCUGCAGUCGGAGAGAUUGAGGACAGCAGCGUAGACUCCUUCUGGGGUUAGAUACACUUGUGCUAAGCUAUAGCCUUGUAUAGACAACUUGUUGACUAUGCUCAGUCAUGUAGCUUACUCGCUUGUGCUAUUUUACCUACGCUUAGGAUGUUGAUAGUCACAGCGUGUAC
RNAcentral lists this ribosomal RNA (777 nucleotides) under uncultured Neocallimastigales. Its description in RNAcentral is "partial large subunit ribosomal RNA". It matches the Rfam family "Eukaryotic large subunit ribosomal RNA", at positions 23 to 610 of the family's 3401-position model. The record is from RNAcentral. Lineage: Eukaryota; Fungi; Neocallimastigomycota; Neocallimastigomycetes; Neocallimastigales.